This 234-nucleotide long non-coding RNA is filed under the name Brachypodium distachyon (stiff brome). Its description in RNAcentral is "long non-coding RNA (BDIS_LNC003453)". The record is from RNAcentral. Lineage: Eukaryota; Viridiplantae; Streptophyta; Magnoliopsida; Poales; Poaceae.
UUCCAGGGCUUCCUCAAGGUGCUGGGCGGGGUGGACACCAACUUCACUGUCACGUCCAAGGCGGCCGGCGACGAGGCUGAUGCCUUCGGAGACCUCUACCUCUUCAAGUGGACCACCCUACUGAUCCCGCCCACCACGCUCAUCAUCAUCAACAUGGUUGGCAUUGUCGCUGGCGUCUCCGACGCCGUCAACAAUGGGUACGGGUCAUGGGGCCCGCUCUUCGGCAAGCUCUUC